RNAcentral lists this transfer RNA (62 nucleotides) under Heterocephalus glaber (naked mole-rat). It matches the Rfam family "tRNA", at positions 1 to 61 of the family's 71-position model. From Rfam's summary of the family: Transfer RNA (tRNA) molecules are approximately 80 nucleotides in length. The record is from Rfam by way of RNAcentral. Lineage: Eukaryota; Metazoa; Chordata; Mammalia; Rodentia; Bathyergidae.
GGGGCUGUAGCUCAGUGGUAGAGCGCUUGCCUGGCAUGCAUGAGGCCCUGAGUGUGACCCCC